Non-coding RNA from Podarcis lilfordi (Lilford's wall lizard), 142 nucleotides. The record is from the annotation of a GenBank genome assembly. NCBI's taxonomy places the organism in Eukaryota, Metazoa, Chordata, Lepidosauria, Squamata, Lacertidae.
UGAAUAUGUGCAAAUGCUAACAUUUGGGUCUGACUAUACUCUCAAAAUCUCAAAUGUACCCUGUCCCAAGUAUAACAUUUUAUUACCACUUACAAGUGUGUGUGUUUGUUUGUGUGUGAGAGAGAAUAUUGGGGCUGUUCAG